GAAAGAUUAGUUAUUACCCCAUAACGACCUGAGGGUGAAAGUGGGGGUCCGCAAGGCCCGCGCAGCAGGAGCGGCCGAUGUCUGAUUAGCUAGUGGGUGGGGUAAAGGCCCACCAACGCGACGAUCAAUAGCUGGUCGGAGAGGACGAUCAGCCACACUGGGACUCAGACACGGCCCUGACUCCUACGGGAGGCAGCAGUGGGGAAUUUUGGACAAUGGGGGCAACCCUGAUCCAGUAAUGCCGCGUGUGUGAAGAAGGUCCUUCGGGUUGUAAAGCACUU
RNAcentral lists this ribosomal RNA (281 nucleotides) under uncultured bacterium. RNAcentral describes it as "partial 16S ribosomal RNA". It matches the Rfam family "Bacterial small subunit ribosomal RNA", at positions 153 to 435 of the family's 1533-position model. The record is from RNAcentral.